AACAAAGAUGCAACAAAACAAGCCCUUAAGCAGAAUGGCACCAAAACCAUGGGAACAGUAACUAAUACUAAAAACACAGCAACUGGUCGGUGUAAAGUUGGGACUUCAGUGUCUCACCCAGGACAACAAAGUUGCAGUGAGCAAAUAGAACCC
Long non-coding RNA from Hemiscyllium ocellatum (epaulette shark), 153 nucleotides. RefSeq lists it as uncharacterized. The transcript is spliced from 3 exons. The record is from RefSeq and is a predicted model, not a curated record. NCBI's taxonomy places the organism in Eukaryota, Metazoa, Chordata, Chondrichthyes, Orectolobiformes, Hemiscylliidae.